This 785-nucleotide ribosomal RNA is filed under the name Parachtes vernae. RNAcentral describes it as "SSU rRNA". It matches the Rfam family "Eukaryotic small subunit ribosomal RNA", at positions 984 to 1789 of the family's 1831-position model. The record is from RNAcentral. Lineage: Eukaryota; Metazoa; Arthropoda; Arachnida; Araneae; Dysderidae.
CGAAAGUUAGAGGUUCGAAGGCGAUCAGAUACCGCCCUAGUUCUAACCAUAAACGAUGCCAACUAGCGAUCCGCCUGAGUUCCUCAAAUGACUCGGCGGGCAGCUUCCGGGAAACCAAAGUGUUUGGGUUCCGGGGGAAGUAUGGUUGCAAAGCUGAAACUUAAAGGAAUUGACGGAAGGGCACCACCAGGAGUGGAGCCUGCGGCUUAAUUUGACUCAACACGGGAAAACUUACCCGGCCCGGACACUGGAAGGAUUGACAGAUUAAGAGCUCUUUCUUGAUUCAGUGGGUGGUGGUGCAUGGCCGUUCUUAGUUGGUGGAGCGAUUUGUCUGGUUAAUUCCGAUAACGAACGAGACUCUAGCCUACUAAAUAGGCGUUCCGAUCCUUUAUGUCGGACGUUCUUCUUAGAGGGACAAGCGGCUUUUAGCCGCACGAGACAGAGCAAUAACAGGUCUGUGAUGCCCUUAGAUGUCCGGGGCCGCACGCGCGCUACACUGAAGGAAUCAGCGUGUGCUUUCCCUGUCUGGUAGGACUGGGUAACCCGUUAAACCUCCUUCGUGAUAGGGAUAGGGAUUUGUAAUUGUUCCCUUGAACGAGGAAUUCCCAGUAAGCAUUAGUCAUAAGCUAGUGUUGAUUACGUCCCUGCCCUUUGUACACACCGCCCGUCGCUACUACCGAUUGAAUGAUUUAGUGAGGUCUUCGGACUGGCGCUCGUAGCGACCUUUGGCCGCGCCGAUGUGCCGGAAAGAUGACCAAACUUGAUCAUUUAGAGGAAGUAAAAGU